This 427-nucleotide ribosomal RNA is filed under the name uncultured bacterium. RNAcentral's name for it is "bacterial SSU rRNA". It matches the Rfam family "Bacterial small subunit ribosomal RNA", at positions 354 to 796 of the family's 1533-position model. The record is from RNAcentral.
GUGGGGAAUAUUGCACAAUGGGCGAAAGCCUGAUGCAGCAACGCCGCGUGAAGGAUGAAGGGUUUCGGCUCGUAAACUUCUAUCAAUAGGGAAGAAACAAAUGACGGUACCUAAAUAAGAAGCCCCGGCUAACUACGUGCCAGCAGCCGCGGUAAUACGUAGGGGGCAAGCGUUAUCCGGAUUUACUGGGUGUAAAGAGCAUGUAGGCGGCUUAAUAAGUCGAGCGUGAAAAUGCGGGGCUCAACCCCGUAUGGCGCUGGAAACUGUUAGGCUUGAGUGCAGGAGAGGAAAGGGGAAUUCCCAGUGUAGCGGUGAAAUGCGUAGAUAUUGGGAGGAACACCAGUGGCGAAGGCGACUUACUGGACGAUAACUGACGUUGAGGCUCGAAAGCGUGGGGAGCAAACAGGAUUAGAAACCCCGGUAGUCC